This 60-nucleotide transfer RNA is filed under the name Tinaminyssus melloi. RNAcentral's name for it is "tRNA-Lys". Lineage: Eukaryota; Metazoa; Arthropoda; Arachnida; Mesostigmata; Rhinonyssidae. The record is from RNAcentral.
CCUCAAAUGGCUGAUUAAAGCAUUAGUCUCUUAAACUAAAUUAUGGGCAAUCCUUUGGGG